RNAcentral lists this ribosomal RNA (448 nucleotides) under uncultured bacterium. RNAcentral describes it as "bacterial SSU rRNA". It matches the Rfam family "Bacterial small subunit ribosomal RNA", at positions 29 to 521 of the family's 1533-position model. The record is from RNAcentral.
AACGAACGCUGGCGGCAUGCCUAACACAUGCAAGUCGAACGAAGUCUUCGGACUUAGUGGCGCACGGGUGCGUAACGCGUGGGAAUCUGCCCUUGGGUACGGAAUAACUCAGAGAAAUUUGUGCUAAUACCGUAUAAUGUCUUCGGACCAAAGAUUUAUCGCCCAAGGAUGAGCCCGCGUAAGAUUAGCUAGUUGGUGGGGUAAAAGCCUACCAAGGCGACGAUCUUUAGCUGGUCUGAGAGGAUGAUCAGCCACACUGGGACUGAGACACGGCCCAGACUCCUACGGGAGGCAGCAGUGGGGAAUAUUGGACAAUGGGCGAAAGCCUGAUCCAGCAAUGCCGCGUGAGUGAUGAAGGCCUUAGGGUUGUAAAGCUCUUUUACCCGACGAUGAUAAUGACAGUAUCGGGAGAAUAAGCUCCGGCUAACUACGUGCCAGCAGCCGCGGU